AAUUGCAUGCCUCUAUAUGUAUAGUUAUAUAAGAAAUGUUUAAAAGACUUAGGAAGGCUAUCCACCCUAUUUCCUUUUCGCGCCUUGAGAUGUGGUCUGGUGGGAUAUUGGGUAUUCGUCCGAAAGUCGUUUAAAUAUUAGUUAUAUAUCAUGUGUACAUAUAUAGUCAUAAAAGGUCUUUCCAGUUCAUCCCAUGCCCUUAGUUAGUAAGGGUAUACAUCCAUGACCAUACGUACCAGUUAGACUGCUAGUAAACUACCAUAUGGGUAGUUUAGGAAGAUACUAGAACCGUUACUAGAACGCGAUAUCAUACAAUGAGUCAGUUCAUUCAUGAGUCAAUACUUUCUAGAACAUUACUGUACAUUACAUAUACAACUAUACUAGGACGAGAACAUAUACAACUAUACUAGGAAGAGAACAUAUACAACUAUACUAGAACGAGAAACAUUACCCUUACAUUAAUACGUUAACAAUUGUGAUCCACUGUAUCGGAGCAUGCCUUAAAUGUCAUGGCCCGAGUUGUAGCCAGAAUUCUCUUGGAGGGAGAGCGUGAGUUUGCGUAUAGAUCUAUACUGGAUUGACUAUCCUACACCUUGCUGCUAGCUACAGCCGGACCUGCAGGUCUGCGGGUGCCAAACGUCAUUCCGUUAUUACGACCAUUCGUAUGUCGUUGUUACCAGUCGAUAGUAUGGUGCAAUUUAUCACAUAAUGCCUUAAUAUAAAUCCGGUUUAAGGUAAUUAGUACAGCAGUAGUUCUUAUAGCGCUACGUUUUAGUACUACAUUAAUUUUCCCUGUACAUAUAUUUAGUGAUCUUUUCACUUAAACUAUAAAUGUAAAAACUAUAUUUUGUUAAUAAUAGUUACACUUGGGAAAAUUACACACUUUUACAAGACACGAACAUUUAGAACAGUUAAGUCUUGGUAGAAGACUACAUUGAGAACAGUUAGGUCUUGGUAGAAGACACCCUUAUAUAAUAGUAGGAAUCAUAGGGAUUUCUAGAGUUUUUCAAACGUUUACAGUUGUUUUACAAACAUUUUCAUACUUACAGUUCAUAUACAUUUUCAAUACUUACAAUUCAUUUACUUACAAAUUCUUACAUACAAAUUAAGACACUAAAUACUUAUGAUCUCACCAGCUUCAAAGCUGAUACUCGCUUUCAAAAUUACUUGUAUCCUCAGGUCAUCAUAGACAGGUACCGAUGCAAGGAGAAAGGAAGAUGGAGCUUGUUCAAGACUCAUCUUUCAUUUUGAUUUAUGCUUUAGUGUUUAUCAAAAUUUGACAGAACACAUUUGUAUAAUAAUUAUAUUAUUAAUGCAAUGGAUGAUGUUGUUGCUUGUUUACUACUUUACAUUGUUGUGAUAUUAUACAUGACGUCCUCCGCCCCAGAACGUUUCCGCCGUUCUUGGUUUUGGGGUGUGACAGAUUGGUAUCAGAGCAUUGUUUAUAGUGAAUUAAGUAUAUCAACCCAUAAAAGAUAUACUAACUAUAAAUACAUAAGGGAUUAAAAAUACUCUGACCAAGAGUUUAUACUUUAAAUAGUAAAAUAUUUAGUAAGUUUACGUGCUACAUUCAUACUAAAAUCAAUGUCACUAGGACAGUACAAAAAAAAUUUCGAUUGUUGGGAAACACAAGUGGGCUUAGAGACAUAUGGUCAAAACUGGGAAGAUAUAGCCUGAUCACCUAUAUUAUCCGAGGGUUGACUAGCAUGUGCCUAAGUUUAAUUGUGUGGUUGCAACAAUGCUAAAAUCUUACCAACCCUACCACAAUGAGAACAAUAGAACAUAACAUUAAAAAUUUAAAAUACUAUAGGAGUAUUUGGUGUUACUAUAAGUACUUUAUACUUGAGAACUAAAACGGGAUCUUCAUUAUUAAGUUGAUAGUUGCUAAGUGGAUACACUAAGGCUAUAUGUAAUUAGGAUGUUAUAGACUUAGAAUUUGUGAAAAUUUUGCCUUACCCCUAUUCUGUGUGAAUUUGGAAUUAAGGUCACUUAUUCGAAGGUCUAUCCUGUUUAGAUUACACAUAGCUGGUAUGCACUUCACAAAUAGCGAUGUAACUAAUGAAGGUUUUCUAAAUAAUUAUCUAGAUAGUUUGUCAAAUAAUUAUCCUCUUACCCUAAAUUCUUGCAUAGAAAUCAUAGCUGGACUCCAUCCCCUCAGCAACCAGUAUCUUCUGAACGAAGUCAUAGCUGGUUGGUUUGAAGAAGAACCGGUGAAUGAUCAUCCUAUCCCCUUGGAUGAUCACCAUGAAGACUUUUCGUAUGAUGCUAACUCCGAACCAGAAGUUGAGAACCUACCCCGAGUAGCUCCCGUUCCAAAUUCCUAACCCUCUUCCGGCUUUUCAUGGCCUGACCCUGAGUGAGUGGAAUGCUUGGAAACAUGGAGCCAAGAACAAGAUCAGCCCAUGCCAUUUAUUGGCAACCGAAACUUUUACGACUUGAGCAAUGAGGGCUUAGCAGAUAUAGUCUUGCCAAUCUUGGUCCGCAGAGAGGCCAUAAAUGAGAUUCAAGGCAGGACAGCCCUACAUCAGAUUUCAGAAGAAGUCGCCUAUGCUAGAAUGCAUACCCUCCACACCCUUCUUCUAGAGGAUGCUCACGAGAGAUCAGAGAGAAACCAUGAAACCCUACUGCAAGCACUGACUGAAUCACGAGCCGAAGUCAUAGGGCUCCGAGUACGCCAGAUGGUGUGCGAAAGACACCUACGUGACGUGGAACGUCAAUUGGCUGAACUAAGCGUUCACCAGAGGGAUGACCGUCGCCAGUAGUAGACGCUUUACUUUAUUUCCUUAUAAAGAGGAAUCGUAUUUUUCUGUCUAUGCCUGAUGUGGCAUUUUCUAUGAAAUUAUCUUGUACCGUAAGUACUUUAGUUAGGUCUUUAUGCUGUCAGGAACUAUCUCCUGUGGAUAUGAUGUAAGACCUUUACAAGGUCAUUUUCCUGAACCUUUACGUCGUAAAUAUCCAAGAUAUUGACAGCCGGCUAACUUUUGUGUCAUUUCCUUCAUUCAAGUACUCUUAUCAUACUCUCAUUGGAGUCUAUCUGAAACCUGCUUUAGUUAAGUCAUUGGACCAUAGCAAGUUAGAUACGGAGACAUUUCCAAGUCUCUUUCAGUGGUUGGAUUUUGUUAUUCACCAACCCACGAUACCUCAACUUGUACAACAAACGUCUUGAGACCAUUCUACGAACUUACCUCUACUCAUUACUAGGACUGCAUCAUAGGGAUGUAGGUCAAACCUUCGCGAACAUACUUUCAUUCUGUACUAGGACUGCAUCAUAGGGAUGUAGGUCAAACUUUCGAGAACAUCGUCGUACUCUUUACAUGAACAAUCUAAGUACAUCAGGGUCAACCAGAAUCGCUCACAAAAUCCUUACUUUUCGUGUUAUAGAAUCAUGUCGUCAUCCAGAAGCAAUAAGUCGAUCAGCGAAACCCCCACUUUUCCUAUGGACGCCGCUACCUUUCAAACAACAGUUACAGCUGCCGUGGUGGCUGCCGUAACCGCGGUCCUUGCACACCGUAGCGCUAACAGCACAGUCAAUGCAACUGAUGGGAACGAAGUUUCCAAUCGUGGUAUCCAUCCAGGAGGUCGUCAAACAGUAACAGUCACAGGCUCGCAAAGCCGAAAAACAGAAAACAAGAAACGAAAGCGUCAAGCCCGGAAGGAACGCAAGAGAUCCCAAAAGCUGGCUAUACAACAGCAGCAAGUGGAAACCCCUGCCAUCCCAGUACCGAGCAGGCCAUACGAGGGAAAACUCCCGAAGUGUGAUAAGUUUAGUUUCCAUCAUCAUGGGGCUUGCCAUGAGAUGUAGUGUUGCAAUUGCCUAUACAUAGGGCACCAUGCUCGUAACUGUGGGGCACCGACGCGACCCAUCACUCAAGUCCCUUUCAUCGGGACUAAACCCACACACAAGAUUUGUUAUAGCACCGAGCGAUUUAAGAAGCAGUUUUCAAAGUGGAGUAAUGAGGAAGGCACUCGUGUCCACAUAACAUUGGCUAAACACCGCAAUCCCGUCUCCAAGGCUAGUACUAGCCAGUCAUGCCACCAAUGCGGUGAGGUAGGGCACUUCAAGAAAGAUUGCCCGAUAACAAAGAACUCUGGCGCAGAUGGGAAAAUUCUCAGGAUCACAGCUGCAGGAGAGCCUACUCCGGAACCACGUUAAAUGUAAUUUGGGCGUUUCGUUGUAACAGACUUAUAAACUAUCUAGAACUAGUGCAACUAGAGUCUUACCUUUUGCGAGAUCCUGUCUGUAUAGGAAUUCUCGUGCUGCGUAUACUUGUCUUUUGUAGUAUAUCUUAUUCGCAGCAAUAGUCUUGUGGUAAAUCUAAAGUAUUGUAACUUUGUUCAUGGUUGCACAGUUGUGUUUUGUCUGUAAUCGUCUAUGUUUAAUUCUAAUGUCUUUAAAGUUUCUGUAUGAUUCCGACAUUAUCAUACAACCAGAUUCACUUUGAUCGACGCCAAAAUAGCUUCAUACGUACAUCUCUUUCUUCUAGAUCGUUUUUCCAGCGAAGCCGUCAUAUCAGAACACCGUAGUACUCAUGCCAGGAGUACCACUUAGUUAUUUUCUUUCCGAAGAAAUCCCCGAAGUACCACUCGUGCAGUACGUCAAGUUCAAUCCAAGGAUUUAUACGAUUGAUCUAUCACUGAGAAAUGUAUGCAUAAGAGUGAUAUAUAAUCAAGGUUCUACAGGUUUAGAAUUGAUGAUUCCACUUUAACUUCUUUUCCCGGAUGGGAUGUGAGGGUAAGGAAGAAUCAGUUAUUCGACUACCUUUUCAAUCUUAAUUAUAUACGACUCGUAUACACGAGAUUGUGAUCGUGAAGCCCUGUAUAAAUUCUAAAAUGGACUUCAGGACGGAGAACUGCCUAAGUAUACGAGUAAUCACAUCGUCAUGUGAACAAACUUAGAACCCAGUACGACUCCCGAAAACAGAUCGCCCUAUAGUUUAAACACCCUCGGAGAUACCAGAACAGUACAAACCACUUGACGAACUACACAGAAAGAGAAUUAGAAGACUAGGCUUCUCACCCUAGAGAACCCCGGUCAUAUUCUCGCGGAGAUCGACGGAUUGCAACGUAUGUGCCUCGGAUAUCGAGGACUCCGUCAAGAUUUUCAUAGAAAUCGUUAUCUCUGCCUCGCAUAGACAAAAUGGUUGAGCAAACGCAAGGAAAGAAACUACUUCCAGGAAUGGAUCUGGAAUCCGAAUAUCACCAGUUCGAGUGUUAGGGGAGGAUGUCCGGAAGACUAUCUCCUGAACUCGAUGCGGACACUUCGAGUUCGUAGUGAUACCUUUCGGAUAGGACCAAUACGCCCAUAGUUUUCAUGAGCUAAAUAAAUAGAGUUACGUCUUUCUUACUGGGAUCAGUCAUCAUUUCUCCAUGUAAUGACUUACUUAUCUACCCUCGUAGUAAGAAGAAAGCCCAUGGUAACAUUCCUACAGAGGAACUUUUAGCAAAGUUCUCUAGGCACGAGUUUUGAAAUUGAAGAGUCAAAUUUCUAGGACACACUGUUAGUAAUGUGAGAAAUUUUGAGUACUCUUUCAAUUUGUCAAAACCGUUGAGCAUUUAUCGACACCAGAGACGCCGACAGUUUUUCGCCAGAUUCUAGGUCUUACCGACCUACCGCCUUAGUUCAUUCAGAACUCCUCGCAAGCUACAGAAACUCGUACGACUUUGACCCAGCAAGGGGUGGCCUUUGACUGGGAAGUUACGUAAGAAAAGGAACCUUUGAGAUUCCAAGUGAGUGACCAAGUUCUUUAGGAUAACUCACUCUGGGAAUGGCUUAAUACGCUUCGUAAAGCGUGGAAAGCUAAAUCCAAGUUAGACAGGACCUCCGAGAUUCUUAUCAGAAUCGGUCCUGUGCCUCACACAAACUAGACCUACUCCGCGAACUCAGUAACGUACUUUCUACUCUUCGCAUCUCGAUCGUGAAACCAUACCUUUCCGUUAGGACUCUUGCAAGUCCACUCGUCGAGAUCCUCGCCUUCGUAUUAGAACCGUAGUGACCCUCGACCGAGAGGUCAAGCGGACGAAGAAACGCCAUCGCCAGUUAGUGAAGGUUCGUUGGAAUGCCAACCGAGAACCCGUNNNNNNNNNNNNNNNNNNNNNNNNNNNNNNNNNNNNNNNNNNNNNNNNNNNNNNNNNNNNNNNNNNNNNNNNNNNNNNNNNNNNNNNNNNNNNNNNNNNNNNNNNNNNNNNNNNNNNNNNNNNNNNNNNNNNNNNNNNNNNNNNNNNNNNNNNNNNNNNNNNNNNNNNNNNNNNNNNNNNNNNNNNNUAGCCUUAAGUAUCUAAAUGAAAGUUAUAGAUAACCUCAAACCGUGAGCGUACAUAAAAAGAACGUCCAAAUCUGACUUCGUAUGAGGAAGUUAUGAUUUUUCCAAGAUUCGGGUAUAGCAGUAGACAGCUAAAAACUCGAAAUAGAGCUCGAGAUACUUUUGACCAAAACAACCUAAAUGAGAAUCUAAGGUCUCAACAUUAGUAGCGCAACGGCGAAAAGUCUGACGAAAACGGACAUCGGAUGAAGAAGUUAUGGAAUUUUAACGGACUUUUCGUGUCCCGGCCCGUUAAAAAUAAAUAAUUAAAAAUAAAGUCAGAAUUUGCCGAUGAAGUCUAAACGAGAGUUGUAGAUCAUGUUUUUAGCUACGCGUGCAUAUAAAGAACGUCGAAAACGGAGCUCGUACGCGAAAGUUAUGGAUUUUACAAGUUCGGGGUCCAAAAUCCGAGGCUGUCAGGCCCCCACGACGUGGCACAAGCUUGCCGCGACCCGGCAAGUGACUGAGGGCGUCCAAUCAAUGGAAGAGGAUAGGUUUGACUCCCCACGACGUGGCCAUCACUUGCCACGACGUGGCACACCCCAAAAAUGCCCCUAUAAAUAGAUUUCAAGGGCUCCGAGUUCCAUUGCUCAGUUCCCUUCUUUCUCGCGCCGAAACUCUGCGUUUAAGCCCCCGAGACCCUCCCAAAGCCCCGGUUUUCACCUUCAAGUCCCGAAGGAAGGUUUUGUGUUCCCGAGAUUCCCGAGAAUCCCGAGAUUUUCCCGCGUUUUCAACUCUUCCUGUCGAAGUUCUGCUCGAUUCUUCUCUAGACUAUUUCAAAUCAACCACUUCAAUCAAGUGAGUUCAUACCCCUUAACUAAUGUUUUAAACUACUUUUAAAUGUUUUUUGGGGGGGGGAAUACAAGUAGAAUCAUGCUAGUAUUAUAUCAAUCACAUGCGAUUAAUAAGUAGAAUUACGCUAGUUAUUACAUCAAUCACAUGUGAUUAAUAUACAGCAUUCAAAAGAUUUGGCUACUCAUUAGCCGUUUUACCAAACAGUUUCCUUCAAAUGAUUUUUAUAAACAUUUUAUAUGUUUUAAACUACUUAUUACACUGUACAUCUUACUCGGUACAUUACCUUUCAAACUUAUUUACAACUGUGUUUCAAACAAAUGUUUCCUUAUACUCAAAACUGUUUUAUCAUACUUAUGCCUUCAAAUUGUUUUAUAGAUCGACAUCAAGUCGAUCUUUUCUUAAAAUAAUAUUUAUGUUUCAAAUGUCUUACAAAAUUUAUUUAUGCUUUUAUAUUAUAAAUUGCAUGCCUCUAUAUGUAUAGUUAUAUAAGAAAUGUUUAAAAGACUUAGGAAGGCUAUCCACCCUAUUUCCUUUUCGCGCCUUGAGAUGUGGUCUGGUGGGAUAUUGGGUAUUCGUCCGAAAGUCGUUUAAAUAUUAGUUAUAUAUCAUGUGUACAUAUAUAGUCAUAAAAGGUCUUUCCAGUUCAUCACAUGCCCUUGGUUAGCAAGAGUAUACAUCCAUGACCAUACGUACCAAUUAGACUGCUAGUAAACUACGAUAUGGCUAGUUUAGGAAGAUACUAGAACCGUUACUAGAACGCGAUAUCAUACAAUGAGUCAGUUCAUUCAUGAGUCAAUACUUUCUAGAACAUUACAUAUACAACUAUACUAGAACGAGAAACAUUACCCUUACAUUAAUACGUUAACAAUUGUGAUCCACUGUAUCGGAGCAUGCCUUAAAUGUCAUGGCCCGAGUUGUAGCCAGAAUUCUCUUGGAGG
RNAcentral lists this long non-coding RNA (8032 nucleotides) under Lactuca sativa (garden lettuce). RNAcentral describes it as "long non-coding RNA (LSAT_LNC006623)". The record is from RNAcentral. Lineage: Eukaryota; Viridiplantae; Streptophyta; Magnoliopsida; Asterales; Asteraceae.